Molecule: ribosomal RNA, 910 nt
Filed under: uncultured bacterium
Lineage: Bacteria
Description: bacterial SSU rRNA
Rfam family: Bacterial small subunit ribosomal RNA
Source: RNAcentral
ACGCUGGCUACAGGCUUAACACAUGCAAGUCGAGGGGAAACGACGGGGAAGCUUGCUUCCCCGGGCGUCGACCGGCGCACGGGUGAGUAACGCGUAUCCAACCUGCCUCUGACUGAGGGAUAACCCGUCGAAAGUCGGCCUAAUACCUCAUGGCAUCGUCUGCGGGCAUCCAACGACGAUUAAAGAUUUCAUCGGUCAGGGAUGGGGAUGCGUCUGAUUAGCUUGUUGGCGGGGUAACGGCCCACCAAGGCGACGAUCAGUAGGGGUUCUGAGAGGAAGGUCCCCCACAUUGGAACUGAGACACGGUCCAAACUCCUACGGGAGGCAGCAGUGAGGAAUAUUGGUCAAUGGGCGAGAGCCUGAACCAGCCAAGUAGCGUGCAGGAUGACGGCCCUAUGGGUUGUAAACUGCUUUUAUGCGGGGAUAAAGUGAGGGACGUGUCCUUCAUUGCAGGUACCGCAUGAAUAAGGACCGGCUAAUUCCGUGCCAGCAGCCGCGGUAAUACGGAAGGUCCGGGCGUUAUCCGGAUUUAUUGGGUUUAAAGGGAGCGUAGGCCGUGGAUUAAGCGUGUUGUGAAAUGCAGGUGCUCAACGUCUGCACUGCAGCGCGAACUGGUCCACUUGAGUGUGCGCAACGCAGGCGGAAUUCGUCGUGUAGCGGUGAAAUGCUUAGAUAUGACGAAGAACUCCGAUUGCGAAGGCAGCUUGCGGGAGCACAACUGACGCUGAAGCUCGAAAGUGCGGGUAUCGAACAGGAUUAGAUACCCUGGUAGUCCGCACGGUAAACGAUGGAUGCCCGUUGUCAGGCUGUUUCAGCCUGGUGACCAAGCGAAAGCAUUAAGCAUCCCACCUGGGGAGUACGCCGGCAACGGUGAAACUCAAAGGAAUUGACGGGGGCCCGCACAAGCGGA